UGGGUUUUGUGUUUUCCUGAUUAUUUGUCAAGAACAAAUAAACUAUAUUGCAGUAGAUGUUGGUGUUUUACCCCCUUACUUUUUCAGCAAGUUUUUCUUUUUUUUUUCAUUUUUCUGCUAUUCGUUUGGUUCCGUCACUAAUCUUAAAGGCGGUUUUCCACCAGGCGAAACUUUUCGACCAAAUCAAAAUUUGCUUUUGUCUUAAAAGCAAGAUGGAACUAAACAGAAAUCUUUUGAAUUUGAGCAAUUAAAAUUUUG
Non-coding RNA from Paramuricea clavata, 258 nucleotides. Lineage: Eukaryota; Metazoa; Cnidaria; Anthozoa; Malacalcyonacea; Plexauridae. The record is from the annotation of a GenBank genome assembly.